Molecule: long non-coding RNA, 517 nt
Filed under: Panax ginseng (ginseng)
Lineage: Eukaryota; Viridiplantae; Streptophyta; Magnoliopsida; Apiales; Araliaceae
Description: long non-coding RNA (PGIN_LNC007967)
Source: RNAcentral
AAAGACAGAGAGAGAAAAAAAGAAGAUUAAAGCAGAGUCUAUAUUUUUGAAACCCAACCGCUCCAAUUCUUCAAAUCAUCCUCACCGAAUCUUAGUACUAAAUUAAAAACCCACCUCUCUAAUCAUUCCCUCCUCAAUACCCAGAUCUUAGACUUUCAAAUUUUGAUCAUACGGACUAUUUCUUUGCAUCUGGUUUUUCCUCUCUUCUCAAGUUGUGUCAUGGUUUUUCUGCUACAAUUAUAAUCAAAGUUUCAACUUUCAGUCCAUUCCUCGAAAAUCGGGUCUCCAUCCAUGUUAUCGAACUCCAAUUAUUUUCUUUCUCUUGCGUUUACUGAGAUUUGUUCUGAUAAUUCUAAUUGAUCUUCCCCAAUUGGAUUUCAGUUUCAAUUCAAUCAAGUUAUAUUAACAUAAUCUGUACUUGUAUAUUAAUCCAUGUAUCUAUCAUACUAGCUUCACUUUUGAAGUGUCAUUAUUUAUACUGUUUUCCUGGCGUUCAAAAUUCAAAUCCCCAUUCGAG